CGCCUGUUUACCAAAAACAUCGCCUCUUGUAAAUCAAAGCAUAAGAGGUCCCGCCUGCCCUGUGACUAUGGGUUUAACGGCCGCGGUAUUUUGACCGUGCGAAGGUAGCGCAAUCACUUGUCUUUUAAAUGAAGACCUGUAUGAAUGGCAUCACGAGGGCUUAGCUGUCUCCUCUCCCAAGUCAAUGAAAUUGAUCUGCCCGUGCAGAAGCGGGCAUAAGUACAUAAGACGAGAAGACCCUAUGGAGCUUUAGACACCAGGCAGAUCACGUCAAGCAACCUUGAACUAACAAGUAGAAACACAAUGACCCCUAGCCCAUAUGUCUUUGGUUGGGGCGACCGCGGGGGAAAACAAAGCCCCCAUGUGGACUGGGGGCACUGCCCCCACAACUAAGAGCUACAACUCCAAGCACCAGAAUUUCUGACCAAAAAUGAUCCGGCGAACGCCGAUCAACGGACCGAGUUACCCUAGGGAUAACAGCGCAAUCCUCUCCCAGAGUCCCUAUCGACGAGGGGGUUUACGACCUCGAUGUUGGAUCAGGACAUCCUAAUGGUGCAGCCGCUAUUAAGGGUUCGUUUGUUCAACGAUUAAAGUCCUACGUGAUCUGAGUUCAGACCGG
RNAcentral lists this ribosomal RNA (619 nucleotides) under Parahucho perryi (Japanese huchen). Its description in RNAcentral is "partial 16S ribosomal RNA". It matches the Rfam family "Bacterial large subunit ribosomal RNA", at positions 1797 to 2619 of the family's 2925-position model. Lineage: Eukaryota; Metazoa; Chordata; Actinopteri; Salmoniformes; Salmonidae. The record is from RNAcentral.